CUAACUUAAACUGGAGAGAACAGUGGGUAUUGGGUAGUUUGGCUGGGGCGGUCACCUUCCAAAUUGUAACGAAGGUGUGCAAAAGGCAAAUUCAAAGAUGCUUUUUUUUUGAUGAGUGCAAUAGCAAAAAUUUGCUUGACUGUAAGAAAUACAAUUCAAGCAGGGAUUUACGUCGGUUAUAGUGAUCUGAUGUUUUUUUAUGGAGAAAGCAUCACUUUUCGGAAAAAAGGUACGCCAGGGAUAACAGGCUAAUGAUUUUUUAGAGUUCUUAUCGACAAAAUUGUUUGGCACCUCGAUGUCGGCUUUUCACAUCCUGGAGCUGUAGUUGGUUCCAAGGGUUUGGUUGUUCGCCAAUUAAAGUGAAACAUGAGCUGGGUUCAGAACGCCGUGAGGCAGUUUGGUUUCUAUCUACUAAUAUUUGAAGAAAAUUUGAAAAAAUAAACCUUAGUACGAGAGGACUGGGAAAAGUAAACCUCUUGUUUAACGGCUGUUCUUUUGUAGAGCAUUGUCGUAUAGCUACGUUUAUAUUAGAUAAUCACUGAACGCAUUUAAGUGAGAAAUUAUUUUUAAGGCCUGUUUUCUAUUAAAAGAGUCGUGAACACCGAUCACGUAAUUAGGUACUGCGU
This 626-nucleotide ribosomal RNA is filed under the name uncultured eukaryote. RNAcentral's name for it is "partial Bacterial large subunit ribosomal RNA". It matches the Rfam family "Bacterial large subunit ribosomal RNA", at positions 2222 to 2868 of the family's 2925-position model. The record is from RNAcentral.